Molecule: ribosomal RNA, 253 nt
Filed under: uncultured bacterium
Lineage: Bacteria
Description: partial 16S ribosomal RNA
Rfam family: Bacterial small subunit ribosomal RNA
Source: RNAcentral
UACGGAGGGGACUAGCGUUGUUCGGAAUUACUGGGCGUAAAGCGCGCGUAGGCGGACCUGCAAGUCGGGGGUGAAAGCCCGGGGCUCAACCUCGGAACUGCCUUCGAUACUGCGGGUCUCGAGUCCGGGAGAGGUGAGCGGAAUUCCUAGUGUAGAGGUGAAAUUCGUAGAUAUUAGGAAGAACACCAGUGGCGAAGGCGGCUCACUGGCCCGGUACUGACGCUGAGGAGCGAAAGCGUGGGGAGCAAACAGG